UAGGGAAUCUUCGGCAAUGGGGGCAACCCUGACCGAGCAACGCCGCGUGAGUGAAGAAGAUCUUCGGAUCGUAAAACUCUGUUGUUAGAGAAGAACACGAGUGAGAGUAACUGUUCAUUCGAUGACGGUAUCUAACCAGCAAGUCACGGCUAACUACGUACCAG
This 164-nucleotide ribosomal RNA is filed under the name uncultured bacterium. RNAcentral's name for it is "partial 16S rRNA". It matches the Rfam family "Bacterial small subunit ribosomal RNA", at positions 355 to 511 of the family's 1533-position model. The record is from RNAcentral.